This 301-nucleotide ribosomal RNA is filed under the name uncultured bacterium. RNAcentral's name for it is "partial 16S ribosomal RNA". It matches the Rfam family "Bacterial small subunit ribosomal RNA", at positions 509 to 809 of the family's 1533-position model. The record is from RNAcentral.
CAGCAGCCACGGUAAUACAGAGGGUGCGAGCGUUAAUCGGAUUUACUGGGCGUAAAGCGUGCGUAGGCGGCUUCUUAAGUCGGAUGUGAAAUCCCUGAGCUUAACUUAGGAAUUGCAUUCGAUACUGGGAAGCUAGAGUAUGGGAGAGGAUGGUAGAAUUCCAGGUGUAGCGGUGAAAUGCGUAGAGAUCUGGAGGAAUACCGAUGGCGAAGGCAGCCAUCUGGCCUAAUACUGACGCUGAGGUACGAAAGCAUGGGGAGCAAACAGGAUUAGAUACCCCUGUAGUCCCUGUCUCUUAUAA